UGAGUGAAGAAGGCCCUCGGGUUGUAAAGCUCCUUUGUUGGGAAAGAAAUCCUGUUGGCUAAUACCCGGCAGGGAUGACGGUACCCAAAGAAUAAGCACCGGCUAACUUCGUGCCAGCAGCCGCGGUAAUACGAAGGGUGCAAGCGUUACUCGGAAUUACUGGGCGUAAAGCGUGCGUAGGUGGUGGUUUAAGUCUGUUGUGAAAGCCCCGGGCUCAACCUGGGAAUUGCAGUGGAUACUGGAUCACUAGAGUGUGGUAGAGGGUGGCGGAAUUCCCGGUGUAGCAGUGAAAUGCGUAGAGAUCGGGAGGAACAUCCGUGGCGAAGGCGGCCACCUGGGCCAACACUGACACUGAGGCACGAAAGCGUGGGGAGCAAACAGGAUUAGAUACCCUGGUAGUCCACGCCCUAAACGA
This 415-nucleotide ribosomal RNA is filed under the name uncultured bacterium. Its description in RNAcentral is "bacterial SSU rRNA". It matches the Rfam family "Bacterial small subunit ribosomal RNA", at positions 402 to 809 of the family's 1533-position model. The record is from RNAcentral.